This 253-nucleotide ribosomal RNA is filed under the name uncultured bacterium. Its description in RNAcentral is "partial 16S ribosomal RNA". It matches the Rfam family "Bacterial small subunit ribosomal RNA", at positions 524 to 776 of the family's 1533-position model. The record is from RNAcentral.
UACGUAGGGUGCGAGCGUUAAUCGGAAUUACUGGGCGUAAAGCGUGCGCAGGCGGCUUUGCAAGACAGAUGUGAAAUCCCCGGGCUCAACCUGGGAACUGCAUUUGUGACUGCAAGGCUAGAGUACGGCAGAGGGGGAUGGAAUUCCGCAUGUAGCAGUGAAAUGCGUAGAUAUGCGGAGGAACACCGAUGGCGAAGGCAAUCCCCUGGGCCUGCACUGACGCUCAUGCACGAAAGCGUGGGGAGCAAACAGG